This is an RNA transcript of Andrographis paniculata, 1294 nucleotides long. It is a transcript of the gene named trihelix transcription factor ENAP1-like, with no coding region annotated. The transcript has 3 exons. The record is from RefSeq and is a predicted model, not a curated record. NCBI's taxonomy places the organism in Eukaryota, Viridiplantae, Streptophyta, Magnoliopsida, Lamiales, Acanthaceae.
UCCUUUCCGUCACGAACUGCCGGCGUUAGGGCCUUCGAUUCACAUCGCUUUUCUCAUUUUCAAACCCAAAAAUCGCCGUCCUUCCUCUCGCCGGCCGGCGCCGCCAUGACACCACCGCCCACCCCAUCCCCUCCGCCUCCCGACGCCGCCUCUCCAAAACAGCCCAUGCCCGAUGACGACGGCAAACCCGCCCCUUCUUCUUCUCCUCUGCCCGGAGUUUCGUCAGACCUUCCGACGCCGGCGGCGAAGACCCCGGCUUUUCCGGCCAGAGAGGACUUCUGGUCGGAGGACGCGACGCGUACGCUGAUCGACGCGUGGGGCGGCCACUACCUCGAGCUCAACCGCGGCAACCUCCGGCAGAAGCACUGGCAAGAGGUCGCCGACGCCGUCAACGCCGCUUCGGUCAAGCUCCGCCGGACCGACGUGCAGUGCAAAAACCGCAUCGACACCAUCAAAAAGAAAUACAAGAUCGAGAAGUCCAGGACCCUCCAAUCCAACGGCCGGUACGUCUCCACAUGGCCGCACUUCCCCAGCCUCGACUUUCUCAUCGGCGACUCAUUCUCCAAAUCUCACACCCCCGGCCCCAACCGGAACCCCCGCCGGAAACCUCCAAACUCGCCGGAAAUCACCCCUCCGCCGCCUCCUCCUUCGGCCACGAUUUAUUCCCUACCUAGACCUCAAUCGGCGACGAAUCAUCCCCGAGAAAACGAUCCUAAAUUAGGUCAACAGUUGAAGCUCCCCUGGCAGGUACCCGUCGGACCUCGGUCAAAACGCAGUGUGGCUGAACGCAAUUUCUCAGUAAUGGCCGCCGCCGCCGCCGCAAUGGAGGAUGCUUACGAAGAAGAUGAAUGGUGUAGGAGGCGGCCGGCGGCAGCAGCCGGCCGGAAAAGGAAGGGCUCCAAAAUGCUGGCUGAGGCAAUAAUGAGAUUAGGAAAGGUAUAUGAGAAAGUAGAAGGAGAGAAGCAGCAGCAGAUCCUGGAGUUAGAGAAGCAGAAGAUGCAGUUCACCAUGGAAUUGGAGAUCCAGAGGAUGGAGAUCUUCAUGGAAUCGCAGGUCCAGCUUCAUAAGCUAAAGAAUAACAGUUGUUUGUAGAUACGUCGCUGUGAAGCAUUCGCUCUCAAGUCGGACUGUCGGGACGAAUGCAUUGCAACAGGAACGCUUCAAUUGUUUUUAAGUUUUACGGUGGCGGGAAGUGUGUAGCUUUAACUACUUUCUAUUCAUGUGUAGCAUAUAAUUCAUCCAACACUAUUGUUGCUGGAAUUAUCGUUCUUACACAUCUUCUCUUUGUUUCCCG